RNAcentral lists this ribosomal RNA (465 nucleotides) under Vreelandella stevensii. RNAcentral describes it as "partial 16S ribosomal RNA". It matches the Rfam family "Bacterial small subunit ribosomal RNA", at positions 338 to 795 of the family's 1533-position model. The record is from RNAcentral. Lineage: Bacteria; Pseudomonadati; Pseudomonadota; Gammaproteobacteria; Oceanospirillales; Halomonadaceae.
CCUACGGGGGGCUGCAGUGGGGAAUAUUGGACAAUGGGGGGAACCCUGAUCCAGCCAUGCCGCGUGUGUGAAGAAGGCCCUCGGGUUGUAAAGCACUUUCAGUGAGGAAGAACGCCUGGUGGUUAAUACCCAUCAGGAAAGACAUCACUCACAGAAGAAGCACCGGCUAACUCCGUGCCAGCAGCCGCGGUAAUACGGAGGGUGCGAGCGUUAAUCGGAAUUACUGGGCGUAAAGCGCGCGUAGGUGGCUUGAUAAGCCGGUUGUGAAAGCCCCGGGCUCAACCUGGGAACGGCAUCCGGAACUUUCAAGCUAGAGUGCAGGAGAGGAAGGUAGAAUUCCCGGUGUAGCGGUGAAAUGCGUAGAGAUCGGGAGGAAUACCAGUGGCGAAGGCGGCCUUCUGGACUGACACUGACACUGAGGUGCGAAAGCGUGGGUAGCAAACAGGAUUAGAUACCCGAGUAGUC